This 279-nucleotide ribosomal RNA is filed under the name uncultured bacterium. RNAcentral's name for it is "partial 16S ribosomal RNA". It matches the Rfam family "Bacterial small subunit ribosomal RNA", at positions 506 to 784 of the family's 1533-position model. The record is from RNAcentral.
UGCCAGCCGCCGCGGUAAUACGUGUGGGGCAAGCGUUGUUCGGAAUUACUGGGCUUAAAGGGUUCGUAGGCGGUUUUGUAAGUCAGGGGUGAAAGUCGGUGGCCCAACCAUCGAAUUGCCUUUGAUACUGCAUCACUUGAGUGUGUUAGGGGAGAGCGGAACGUGUAGUGUAGCGGUGAAAUGCGUAGAUAUUACACGGAAGGCCGGAGCCGAAGGGGGCUCUCUGGGACACAACUGACGCUGAGGAACGAAAGCGUGGGGAGCAAACAGGAUUAGAUA